Long non-coding RNA from Papaver somniferum (opium poppy), 980 nucleotides. RefSeq lists it as uncharacterized. NCBI's taxonomy places the organism in Eukaryota, Viridiplantae, Streptophyta, Magnoliopsida, Ranunculales, Papaveraceae. The record is from RefSeq and is a predicted model, not a curated record. The transcript has 2 exons.
UAAGCAUAACUAGGGCAGAAUCAGUCAGGGCAAAGAUAGGUGAUUUCUGCGAGGGAAGAACUCCUUGAAAAUGGAACUUAUUCAGAUCCUGAAACAUAGAAAGCACAGCAUAGGAAUCCCAACGAGCCUUACCAACAAUUGGGGAAAUUACACUAUUUAGCGCCUCCUGUCAUCUCCAUGUGAGAAGAAACACUCUUUUACACUAGUAUCCUUGAAGUGCAACUGGAAAUCGGGGGCUGUGAAUAUGAACCCGCUCCCACGGGCCUCAAGGGUACCAAGAGUGGCAGGGCCUUCAAGGAUAACAUCAGGUAACUGUAAAAUCCAGUGGUUUUCCUGCUUAGGGUACAUAUAUUCCUGAAUACGAGGGUCAGCCCAAUACAAGUCCAUGUUCUCGGCAGCAGAACAAUUUCCGACAGAUCCAGUUGCAGUCUCACCACCCAACAAUCUAUCGGCACAUCUUCUCUUUAAAAGGUGAAGCGCUUCAAGUUUCUUCGACAACAACUUCUGCUCUAUCAUGUCCAACGUCUCACGCACUGAAGAUGACAUAUUUUUAAGGAAUGCGGGUGCAGAUUGACAAGCAAAACAAAAUAUCGGCCUGGGACAGAAAAGAAAGACAGCAACAAAUAAAAAAAAAAAAUUGUUCCUUGGUACAAAAACUGCGGAGGGGAUCGAAAUGAAAUAAACGUCAUACUUCAUAAAAUUAUACAUAUGAAGACAAGAAGUUGAUUUGGAAACUAAGCAACUUUCUAGAUUUAUGAUCUGAGAGUCGGAUACAAAAUGAAAUAAACACGUACUUCAUAAGAACGGAAAAUCAGAACUCCAGCAGUACUGACUUUGAGCCACAAAAAGUAAAUAAAAAUAAAUCAAUUUUUAUUGGCUCAUGAAUAUAUAGGCUUACGGUUGAAACCUAGGAACUAAAAAAAAAAUAGAUCGAGAUCAAUCAGUAUUGGAUAAUUCAUGUAUACAAAUUAUGAACUGGA